This 5804-nucleotide unclassified non-coding RNA is filed under the name Orussus abietinus. RNAcentral's name for it is "transcriptional adapter 2B, transcript variant X2". The record is from RNAcentral. Lineage: Eukaryota; Metazoa; Arthropoda; Insecta; Hymenoptera; Orussidae.
GGGAGGUCAGUGACGCAUGCGCAGUCGCAACGCGCCGCUACAGUCAUAAACAACAUUUUUUCAAUCCAUAUUCAUUACGGGUUUACUCAAACGAAGAAAAAGAAUCGUCCGAGCGAAAGCGAGGAUCAUUUUUCGGAUUUUCGCGAGAAUCUAGAAUGAAAAUCGGGUCCGUUUCGGUGGAGUGAACGUCUGUAGUCGAGACGCUCAGGGGACUUGGGUUAUGCGGUGACGUCAUUCGGAUCGUUCUGGAAGAACGCUGUGGGACGAUAAUGGCGAACUUGUACGGGACGUACAACUGUACGUACUGUCAACUGGAUAUCACGGAUCUACGAGUUAAGUGCAUCGAGUGUCCAGAAUUCGACCUCUGCUUGCAGUGUUUUUCUGCUGGUGCAGAAAUUGGACAACAUAAAAAUGAUCAUUCCUAUCAAUUUAUGGAUUCUGGCACCAUUAGUAUAUUUAAUAGUAGAGGCAACUGGACGGCAAUAGAGCAACUUAGACUGUUGGAUGCGAUCGAACAAUUUGGUUAUGGAAACUGGGAAAAUAUCAGCGAACAUAUCGAAACGAGGUCACCCAAAGAGGCGAAAGAGGAGUAUAUUGCUAGAUAUCUUGAUGGGAACAUUGGGAAACACACAUGGCCUCCGACAGAAAGCUAUAAACCAAAUCUUACCGAUCAGACCAGUUCAGAUCAUGGGCCGCUGUCACCUGACUUAACUUCAAAAUUACCACCAUUGGAUAUUACUCCAGAGGAGGCCGGAGAACUUGGCUACACGCCACAACGGGAUGAUUUCGAUAGUGACUAUAAUCAUGAAGCGGAGUCGCUCGUCUCGUCUCUGUUCCUAAAUCCAGCUGAGGACGAUGACCUUGACAUCGCUCUAAAGCUAGCACAAGUUGAUAUGUAUACAAAUAAUCUUCGUGAAAGGGCAAGAAGAAAACGCGUUGUACGGGACUACCAACUUGUCUCAGCAUUUUUUGCUUCGAGUAGGAAAGACCGGGCAGUAAAAAAGAAACAAACGAAAGAAGAAAAAGAGUUCAGAGAAAGGAUGCGAGUAUUUGCUCAAUUUUAUACUGCGCAAGAAUAUGAACAGUUUCUCAGCAACCUUGAGAGGGAACGUGAGCUUCGCUUGAGACUGUCAGAAUUGCAGCGGUAUCGGGAAAAUGGAAUCACGAGGCACGAGGAGUGUGCUCACUUUGAGCAAGUAAUAAUGCAAACUCAAAAUCCAAACGACAUAGCCGAUCACUGGACGGAAAAGAAAUCUGGCAGCAGUGGGCCGUCCACGCCAAUACAUCGCCUAGCCCUAAAAAGAAGAGACGAAGAAAAAAGCUAUUGUUUCACCGACCGAAAGUACACUACAAGAGCAGACUCGGGCAGCAGCAGCAGCAGCAGCAUCUUAGCCAAUCAAGCCGGUCUCAGUCGGACGACGACUCAAGCCAAUCAGUCGGUGGAGCUGGAUAGCAAUCCCAAUUUGAUAGACCACCACUCUGCGAGUUGCAGCUCCACCGCGGAACGGAGCAACGAAGCACCCUCGUCCGCGAGGACUUCCUCGACGGGGCUCGGGGACCAGGAGGAAAGGGACAUAGAGAUGGAGGCCGCGGCGCAUCUUCUCACCAAGCAGGAAAAGAUAUUGUGCUUUCAGCUCGACUUAAAGCCCACUCAGUAUUUGACGCAAAAGACGCUACUACUGCAGGAAUACCUAAAUGGAAACAGAAGGUCGGGAAUGGUACCGCAGUCCGAGCCAGAGAGUAAGAUCCUCCGUUACCUGGUGUCCAACGGCUGGAUCGUAGCCAAUUAAGAUCAAUAGAUAUGGAUCGCAACCGUUGGCCGUUGUUCAUCUCUAAGUCAUCUCCUAGCUGGUGCAAUCCUAGUUUCUAGGUGUAAAUAGGCAGGUCUCCGUGCACCGGUCGCUUCGUUUUUCAUCCGAAAAUUCGUAUCGUUUGUCUGCGAAGAUGUGAUUCUGCCUGCAAGAGGGGAAGCAAUGCUAAUUUUUCAUGGAAAGGUGGAAACGGAAGUUCGUUCACGUUGGAAGUGCGUAAAGCAACUCGCAGAAGGAUACGGUUUCCGAUGGUCGGGGAGAUAUCCGUAAUUAUUAAAAAGGUAUUUACGUAGGUGGGGCACGUCUCAUGUACGUAAAGAUAUGUCUUAAUUUCAUUUUGAAAUUGCAUUCGAGAACUGUCAAAUCCAUGUGUUCCAUGGGAAGGACGCUACUGCCGCGGUUAAUUCGUAAACUACAGAGGAGCAACCUAAUCUUUGAUGACGCGUGAUCCAUGUUCGUGCCGAUAUAACGACGUCCCUUUACGACCACGUGUGUCUCCCGUUGGCGUCCGAUGAUUGCCAAAGUCGUUACUUCGGAUUUUGUCGCGUGAAGCAACGAUUCGAUUUUUAGGUAUUCUUAAGACUGUGGCGAGAGCAUCGUUAACGAGGCUUAAGAAGUCAGGAUAAAAAAGUAAACAAAGGAAUCGUUAUUAUUUACUUUUGGUAGAACGAAAAUGUUUUUUCAUAUUUAUUUUUUCGACCUUACAUUUAGCAGAAUCCGCCUCUGAAGCGUGGUCACGAAUUUAUGAAUAUUAAGGAGCCCUCGUUGACGUAAGUCAUGAAGAUAUGCAUAUCCGAAUGGCAAUAGGAGAUCGGAAGUCAAGCCGCACUCCAAAAAACGAUUAUUUUUCAUUACUCGUGCCCAACGGCUGGAUCAAUGCGAAUUCGACAACCUAUUUAGCAUAGUUGUUGACCGUAUGCAUGUUACAAGUACUAGUAAGCUAGUAUGCGUUGGUACGUGCAGAUUCACUGAAUUUCAAGUGACCGAAAUUCCGAAUACCAGAUGGUAAGUCUCGGUUGUCUAAAAAUUGUCAGCACGUAGAAAAUUUUGCCCAACUCUACCGGGAUGUACCAAAUCUCAACGACUCCUGGAUUUUCGAAAAAUAUUUAAGUAUUUGUGCUCGAAAUGAUCAUUUCCGACACGAUUUGCGAACCGUGUAUGUUAUCAUACGAGUGUCUAGUUAGGUACGAUGUGUCUAUCGCGUACAUGGUACAAUUCGUGAAAUUAUCUCGAAGUUGCAUUCGCGAAUUGCUCUUCGAGCUAGGCGCAAAUGCCGAUUGUCUCGUUUAAUGGACAUUCACCCAGUACAUCGCUGCAAUGAGGUUACAAGCGGACGAAAGGCAAAGAUUUUUGAGUGGCUUCUGCUUUCACGAGUGUACUCUGGCUAACUUUCAUAGUUGUAAUGUAUUGCUCAAUGUAAUCUUCCAAAUAGUUAUUUUUCCAUGUAGGGUUUAUGUGUUAUUGGAGUUCUCUCCUUUGGAAGUUGAAUGUGUUAAUGUAUCCAGCGGCGAGAGAAGCUCUCAAGAGAAACGUGACAAAUUGUCAGUUAUGAAUGUCAUUAGGAUUCUUAAGAAGUGGUGAGCGAUGUUUUUGAAAUUUCGAGUAAGACUUAAGACGUAGCAACUUAAUGGUCAACACAAUUGAACACUUUACGUUGAAUUAAAAAGUUAUCGUCCCGCUUCCAUCACUUUACAGAUUGUGAUGACAGAAAUAUCGUUGCACCGUGGUCGAGGUGAUUUUCUCUCGUAUCGCUGAAAGCAGUAGCUGAUUUAUAUGGGACAUGGCCCAUUUAUUGUAAAGUUAUAUCUAACAAGGAGACGAAGCGUAAUUACGUAACGAAACGCAGUAACUUAGUCUUUGGCUUAAUCCAAACCCUGUAAGGCUCGAUUCCUUAUGGCUGAAGAAUGGUGCGAUUGUAUAAUGCAAACAUACAAAAGACACGACACUUGGUUUUAACUCGUGUUACGUGUCAGUAGACGAUUCAACCGUUGCUUGUCCGGAGCACUUGUACAUACGAGAAAGGCAGUACCUUUUUAGUAAUAGUUUUGAGGAACAUGUUAAAACACGUUAUAUUAGAUCUUUCGAGUGAAAGAUGCGUAAUAUCGUGUUCAGAAAUCGCGUGCGAUCCGUUGAAGCGGAAUGCUCUUCACCGUCUGACAAAUUCCUUAAUUUCUUCCCGAUUGUGCGUCAGUUUAGAUUAUCGCGAGAUCAGUUGAUCGAGGGUAACGUCCUUAUUCACAUUUUUUUCUUUUUUCCUUUUUAAAGCGUUUUGUUUUAUCUUCCAACCGAUGACUCUUGACGAUCGAUUUAUUUCCCUUGCGUGUCCAUUUUAUGAUCGAACUCAUGGUCCAAAUUGAAGAGAUGUUCGACAGUGCAAUGGCACGUUCCUCGUUCGACGCUUCACUUUUCGUGAAAGGCAUAUUCUUAGAGAGUAAAAAAUUGCUGAAAGUUCUGAUGCGUUCGUUGAGAACGCAAUUCCGUCAGAACUGGUCGCAUCUCUAUUUUUCCACCAUACUUAUUGUGGCCUCUGUGAGAGAAAGAGCCACGCUUGUUAACUGUGAAACUAUUAGCCAUUAACUCUAUUCUCUCCCAAAACAUCCACGCUUAUUAAGUGUUUAAGUGAAACGUAAGUUUAAGCUAGGUAGGAAAAACAAAGUAAGACCUAUGAUUACUUAGGGAAAAAAAAAUUACGAGCAAGGUAUACAGAUAACGCGUAAACAGGAUGGAAUUGACGAAGGAGUUUUCGGCUUUGAGAGUCGGAGCUGCAUACAUUUUUAGCUGUACGCUUGUACGUACAUAUCUGUCCGUUGCGAAUUAUUGUUUACGCGGAAUUGCAGUUCAACGGCGAAGACGGAUUCUCGCUCGUGUUUUACUCCCGGAGAGAUACUUACGGCAAUCGGACGAUCGGCGAGUUUAGUUUUUUUCUUUUAUAGUAACCCGGUUUACUCUCUCUUUUUUUUUUUUUAUUAUACAAUGUAUGUUUCGCAGUGGUUGUAGGUAAUAGCAGUUUGUCCAGGAACGAGUACUCUUGGGUGCUGCCUCUUGUUUUCUAUAAGACUUUUACAUUUUGUGAUAUCUGAACUGCGAUUAUUGUCACGCGCUUCGUGCAGAGGGAACUCUUUUGCGCGUCUUAGGGUAGUUGCAUCGAGGAAUGCCGUUGUUUGAUUACAUAAGCAGGAAAGAUGACUUAAAAAUUUGUUCCGUUCGUAGAAGUCCGUCGGGUUAACUCGUUGCUAGAAUUGAGUCGAUUAGAUGGUUCGAAAACUAUAACGAGUUUGUAGUAAGAUCCCGCAGCGAUUAAGCGUAUAAGAUGUAGCAUGCGUUUUGUCCUCGACACCUCUGCCAACGAUGACAUUGUAUUUGACAUUUGUUCGGCAUUUUCCACCCGAAGAGAAUUGUACCGAAACGAUCGCCAAUCGACGAGUCCACUAGAGUACGCCGCAUCUUCGACGAUAACGAUGACUAUUAACGAGCCGUGGUACAAGUUAUUAUGCCGUCUAGUCUUAUCCGCGCGUUCUCGAUUCUCAUCGGUUUCCGUUUAUAGAAUUUGCCCGAUAUAAUUACAAGGUGCUGCCGUACAAUUUUCUUCGUGUGACCGUACACAAGAAACGGAGAUUACCCGUAAAUCACUGUUAUCUUCCGCCAUGGCUUCUGAAAGGUGAUCGUCGCUAUUUUGCGUGCAUGAAAAAGAACGAACGUACGCUUUGAAAAGCUCAUCUAAAUGAAAAUGAAAUUCAGCGAGAUACCCUGCGACGCGAUACCUGAUUAUGCGUAGAUAUCCGGUGCACCUUGUUAUUCAUGACAAAGAGGCGUGUCCGGUUUCCGAAGAAACGAGCAGAAACGAGGGUCUUAUCCGUAGUCGGGAUCGAUGCGCAGUUCCCUCGAUGUAGGUUUACGUUCCAAUGGUUCACCUCUUUGCGUGGCUUCGAUUAAAACGUUUCCAAUCAUUAAUAACGUCAUCGAGUGCCUAGGUUAUUGUCGGUUAUCCAGAAA